This 320-nucleotide long non-coding RNA is filed under the name Elaeis guineensis (African oil palm). RNAcentral describes it as "long non-coding RNA (EGUI_LNC048674)". Lineage: Eukaryota; Viridiplantae; Streptophyta; Magnoliopsida; Arecales; Arecaceae. The record is from RNAcentral.
UGUUGAAGCAAUACUAACUUGAGCAUCGGAGGGUCUUGCCGGAGCACCCCCAACUCCGAUUUAGACUUUCUUUGUAGGUCCCGACGGCGGUCGUGGUCAUCCCAGCUCCAGCUUCUCCGACUUUGAUAAAAUUCUGCACCAAUAGAAUUGGCGCUAGAGGAAGGGCUGGCUGUGUCUUUGCAGUACCCCUGUUCUUAAAAGAGUCUCAACGGGACUGAUUCCGGUCAUCUUCUCCACCAUCCUCUUCUCCUUCUUCUACUAGAUCUUCUCUGAUGCCUCCCCGUAGAGCAUCCACCAGGCGAUCCACGACCUCAGCGGCC